RNAcentral lists this ribosomal RNA (216 nucleotides) under Glomeromycotina sp. Its description in RNAcentral is "partial small subunit ribosomal RNA". The stretch from base 40 to 216 matches the Rfam family "Eukaryotic small subunit ribosomal RNA", at positions 686 to 864 of the family's 1831-position model. Lineage: Eukaryota; Fungi; Glomeromycota. The record is from RNAcentral.
GGGUCAGUAGGUUGGUCGUGCCACCGGUACGUAGUGGUCUCACUGAUUCCUCCUUCCUGAAGAACCGUAAUGCCAUUAAUUUGGUGUUGCGGGGAAACAGGACUGUUACUUUGAAAAAAUUAGAGUUUUUAAAGCAAGCUAACGCUUGAAUACAUUAGCAUGGAAUAAUGAAAUAGGACGAUCGAUCCUAUUUUGUUGGUUUCUAGGAUUGACGUA